RNAcentral lists this ribosomal RNA (630 nucleotides) under uncultured bacterium. RNAcentral's name for it is "bacterial SSU rRNA". It matches the Rfam family "Bacterial small subunit ribosomal RNA", at positions 338 to 1417 of the family's 1533-position model. The record is from RNAcentral.
CCUACGGGAGGCAGCAGUAGGGAAUCUUCCGCAAUGGGCGAAAGCCUGACGGAGCAACGCCGCGUGAGUGAUGAAGGUCUUCGGAUCGUAAAACUCUGUUAUCAGGGAAGAACAAAUGUGUAAGUAACUGUGCACAUCUUGACGGUACCUGAUCAGAAAGCCACGGCUAACUACGUGCCAGCAGCCGCGGUAAUACGUAGGUGGCAAGCGUUAUCCGGAAUUAUUGGGCGUAAAGCGCGCGUAGGCGGUUUUUUAAGUCUGAUGUGAAAGCCCACGGCUCAACCGUGGAGGGUCAUUGGAAACUGGAAAACUUGAGUGCAGAAGAGGAAAGUGGAAUUCCAUGUGUAGCGGUGAAAUGCGCAGAGAUAUGGAGGAACACCAGUGGCGAAGGCGACUUUCUGGUCUGUAACUGACGCUGAUGUGCGAAAGCGUGGGGAUCAAACAGGAUUAGAUACCCUGGUAGUCCACGCCGUAAACGAUGAGUGCUAAGUGUUAGGGGGUUUCCGCCCGUUAGUGCUGCAGCUAACGCAUUAAGCACUCCGCCUGGGGAGUACGACCGCGAAGGUUGAAACGUCAAAGUAGUAGUAGACGUGAGACGNGCGACGGACGGACGACCGAGGGAGGGUUAGG